RNAcentral lists this ribosomal RNA (467 nucleotides) under uncultured bacterium. RNAcentral describes it as "partial 16S ribosomal RNA". It matches the Rfam family "Bacterial small subunit ribosomal RNA", at positions 28 to 507 of the family's 1533-position model. The record is from RNAcentral.
GACGAACGCUGGCGGCGUGCUUAACACAUGCAAGUCGAACGGAAAGGCCUCUUUCGGGGGGUACUCGAGUGGCGAACGGGUGAGUAACACAUGAGUAACCUGCCCUUGACUUUGGGAUAACUUCAGGAAACUGUGGCUAAUACCGGAUAUGAGCUCCUGCUGCAUGUUGGGGGUUGGAAAUUUUCGGCGGUUGGGGAUGGACUCGCGGCUUAUCAGCUUGUUGGUGGGGUAGUGGCUUACCAAGGCUUUGACGGGUAGCCGGCCUGAGAGGGUGACCGGCCACAUUGGGACUGAGAUACGGCCCAGACUCCUACGGGAGGCAGCAGUGGGGAAUAUUGCACAAUGGGUGGAAGCCUGAUGCAGCAACGCCGGGUGCGGGAUGACGGCCUUCGGGUUGUAAACCGCUUUCGCUCAUGACGAAGCUUUGUGUGACGGUAGUGGGUAAAGAAGCACCGGCUAACUACGUG